GGGCACGACACCGGAGAGGGAGCCUGAGAAACGGCUACCACAUCCAAGGAUGGCAGCAGGCGCGCAAAUUACCCAAUCCCGACACGGGGAGGUAGUGACAAUAAAUAACAAUACGGGGUUCUUUAGGAUCUCGUAAUUGGAAUGAGUACAAUUUAAAUCUCUUAACGAGGAACAAUUGGAGGGCAAGUCUGGUGCCAGCAGCCGCGGUAAUUCCAGCUCCAAUAGCGUAUAUUAAAGUUGUUGCAGUUAAAAAGCUCGUAGUUGAAUUUCGGGGUUAGUAGGUUGGUCAUGCCUCUGGUAUGUACUGGUCUCACUGAUUCCUCCUUCCUUAUGAACCGUAAUGCCAUUAAUUUGGUGUUGCGGGGAAUUUGGACUGUUACUUUGAAAAAAUUAGAGUGUUUAAAGCAAGCUAACGCUUGAAUACAUUAGCAUGGAAUAAUGAAAUAGGACGUUCGAUCUUAUUUUGUUGGUUUCUAGGAUUGACGUAAUGAUUAAUAGGGAUAGUUGGGGGCAUUAGUAUUCAAUUGUCAGAGGUGAAAUUCUUGGAUUUAUUGAAGACUAACUACUGCGAAAGCAUUUGCCAAGGAUGUUUUCAUUAAUCAAGAACGAAAGUUAGGGGAUCGAAGACGAUCAGAUACCGUCGUAGUCUUAACCAUAAACUAUGCCGACUAGGGAUCGGAUGAUGUUAAUUUUUUAAUGACUCAUUCGGCGCCUUACGGGAAACCA
RNAcentral lists this ribosomal RNA (726 nucleotides) under uncultured Glomeromycotina. RNAcentral's name for it is "SSU rRNA". It matches the Rfam family "Eukaryotic small subunit ribosomal RNA", at positions 373 to 1100 of the family's 1831-position model. The record is from RNAcentral. Lineage: Eukaryota; Fungi; Glomeromycota.